AUUGAACGCUGGCGGCAUGCCUUACACAUGCAAGUCGAACGGCAGCACGGGUGCUUGCACCUGGUGGCGAGUGGCGAACGGGUGAGUAAUAUAUCGGAACGUGCCCAAUCGGUGGGGAUAACGCAACGAAAGUUGUGCUAAUACCGCAUACGAUCUACGGAUGAAAGCGGGGGACCGUAAGGCCUCGCGCGAUUAGAGCGGCCGAUGCCUGAUUAGCUUGUUGGUGGGGUAAAAGCCCACCAAGGCGACGAUCAGUAGCUGGUCUGAGAGGACGAUCAGCCACACUGGGACUGAGACACGGCCCAGACUCCUACGGGAGGCAGCAGUGGGGAAUAUUGCACAAUGGGGGAAACCCUGAUGCAGCCAUGCCGCGUGUGUGAAGAAGGCCUUCGGGUUGUAAAGCACUUUCAGCGAGGAGGAAAGGUUGGUAGCUAAUAACUGCCAACUGUGACGUUACUCGCAGAAGAAGCACCGGCUAACUCCGUG
This 486-nucleotide ribosomal RNA is filed under the name uncultured bacterium. RNAcentral describes it as "bacterial SSU rRNA". It matches the Rfam family "Bacterial small subunit ribosomal RNA", at positions 30 to 507 of the family's 1533-position model. The record is from RNAcentral.